AUAAUGUGAUGGUGACAGGCAUUGAGUGAGCUAAAAUGGGUUCUUUGGUGGAGUGAUUUUGGGGCGGAGCUGAACCAAAGAAGAGUUGGGUAAGGCGGAGAUGAAGGAAGAAGACAAAGUUUUUGUUGUUGAGGGGAGGUUAUUUGCUUGAAGGUGGUGAUUGCGCGAGAUUUUAGGCGGAACGACACUAAGAAGGAGCGUUUUAGGCAGAGUGAUUUUUCCUUCCUUUUUUCUAUAAUUACUCUCUAUUUCCCCCUUCAUAGUAAAAUAUGAAGUACUUAUAGGAGAGUUAAACCCUAAAAUAAAGUAUUGUCAUUUAAACAGAGGCAAAGAAGGGUUGAUAUUAAAAUGUACAAUUUUUUUUUUAAUUUAAGGGUCUAAAUUGAAAGGGACUUUUGUUUUAUUUCUUUUUUAUUCAAGG
Molecule: unclassified non-coding RNA, 421 nt
Filed under: Hevea brasiliensis (rubber tree)
Lineage: Eukaryota; Viridiplantae; Streptophyta; Magnoliopsida; Malpighiales; Euphorbiaceae
Source: RNAcentral